RNAcentral lists this ribosomal RNA (512 nucleotides) under uncultured bacterium. Its description in RNAcentral is "partial 16S ribosomal RNA". It matches the Rfam family "Bacterial small subunit ribosomal RNA", at positions 28 to 507 of the family's 1533-position model. The record is from RNAcentral.
GAUGAACGCUGGCGGCGUGCCUAAUACAUGCAAGUCGAACGAAACUUCUUUAUCACCGAGUGCUUGCACUCACCGAUAAAGAGUUGAGUGGCGAACGGGUGAGUAACACGUGGGCAACCUGCCCAAAAGAGGGGGAUAACACUUGGAAACAGGUUCUAAUACCGCAUAACCAUAGUUACCGCAUGGUACCUAUGUAAAAGGUGGCUGUACUACCGCUUUUGGAUGGGCCCGCGGCGCAUUAGCUAGUUGGUAGGGUAAAGGCUUACCAAGGCAAUGAUGCGUAGCCGAAUUGAGAGGUUGAUCGGCCACAUUGGGACUGAGACACGGCCCAAACUCCUACGGGAGGCAGCAGUAGGGAAUCUUCCACAAUGGGCGAAAGCCUGAUGGAGCAACGCCGCGUGGGUGAAGAAGGUCUUCGGAUCGUAAAACCCUGUUGUUAGAGAAGAAAGUGCGUGAGAGUAACUGUUCACGUUUCGACGGUAUCUAACCAGAAAGCCACGGCUAACUACGUG